This 521-nucleotide long non-coding RNA is filed under the name Brassica napus (rape). Its description in RNAcentral is "long non-coding RNA (BNAP_LNC025390)". Lineage: Eukaryota; Viridiplantae; Streptophyta; Magnoliopsida; Brassicales; Brassicaceae. The record is from RNAcentral.
GACGAGGCGAACAAAUUGUCCGACCACGACCACAAAAACCUUACACCCCGUUCGUCGAUUGGCCCCGACGAACGCGUCAGCCGUCUUAAAAAAACACAAAUUAAUCACUCUUUUGAUCUCCGAACGUUCAACACAAGGACGAAAGCGCGCUACAAAAAAAAUCCAAAAUUUUGGUGUAGCACUUCCAGUUGGCUUAAAAAUUGUCUCUGGAAAGACUCUCGAUUCAUACCAUACAAGUCAUAUAAGCCGAGAACCUAUCGCGGACUUUAAAUCGGUACGAAUCAUGUAGAAAUCCCAACAGGAAAAUCGAUAGCCAGAUAGUCACCGCACAAACCUUAAAACCGAGAGUAAACCUAGGUCUUGCCCUAAACCCAUCGCAUUGGUCUCAGACAUCUCAAGACAUGAUAUCUAAACGAUACGAGAUCCUAAACCAUGUCUCUCCAUUCACAUCUCAACGUUCCCGAAAGUUGUAAGAAUAAGAAAUUUUUACGAAAAGUCACGAACGAACCGACAGAUUGAAC